GCCUGUGUCCAUACCACCCUGAAUGCACCUGGUCUUGUCUGAUCUCGGAAGCUAAGAGGGCUGGGCCUGGUUAGUACUUGGAUGGGAGACCUGUAGUGUCCUUUCCAUUCUUGCA
RNAcentral lists this ribosomal RNA (115 nucleotides) under Prolemur simus (greater bamboo lemur). Lineage: Eukaryota; Metazoa; Chordata; Mammalia; Primates; Lemuridae. The record is from RNAcentral.